GUAGCCCUUGAACCCUCCACUUUACUGCCUUUCCUUCAUUCAACAGGCAACAAGGACAUGACACGCCCCCUCACCCCCAGUGCCUGUGCUGAGCUAAAAAGGUGUGGUUUAAACUACUUGGAAGAGGCGAGACCCCAGUGGACUGUCAGCCCUUUAGUUGUGACCCUGGAUUUGGUCAUUGGCAAGAAGGCUGGGCCAAGACCUUUUCCAAACGUGGGAGCCUAAGGAUGAAGAGUUAUCUAAGACAGUUGCUAUUUCAGUCCAGAACUUGAAGCUAAAAAUGUUCGA
Suricata suricatta (meerkat) is the source of this 288-nucleotide long non-coding RNA. RefSeq lists it as uncharacterized. Lineage: Eukaryota; Metazoa; Chordata; Mammalia; Carnivora; Herpestidae. The record is from RefSeq and is a predicted model, not a curated record. The transcript has 3 exons.